RNAcentral lists this long non-coding RNA (341 nucleotides) under Ananas comosus (pineapple). RNAcentral describes it as "long non-coding RNA (ACOM_LNC015854)". Lineage: Eukaryota; Viridiplantae; Streptophyta; Magnoliopsida; Poales; Bromeliaceae. The record is from RNAcentral.
AUUGUUAAAUAUAAAAAAUAUUUAGAUAUUAUCUUUUAUAAGUUUAAGCUGAUAGAGUACACCGGUUAUGUUAUAUAUUUUUACAUGAUAUCAGAAUAAGAGGUUCUCAGUUCAAAUCACGCCAGGCUCCUAAUAUUAUUAAUUUUCUUUCAUUUCAUUGAAGUCCGCGUCAUGAACUUACAAAAAGUUUCGAGUCCAUGAAGAAAGUGUUAAAUAUAAAAAAUAUUUAAAUAUCGUUCUCUAUAAGCGUAAGCUGAUAAAGUACAACGGUUGUUUUACAUAUUUCACACUAAUUACUAGUUUACUUUUAAAUUUAGAAAUUGCUAUCUUUAAAAAACAAA